CUUAGCAUGAAGUGAAGCACAUACACCUGCUGAAUUUAAGCAUAUAAGUAAGUGGUGGAAAUUAAACCAAAUGGGAUAUCUUUAGUAAUUGCGAAUGAACAAGGAUAUGCUUAGCUUGACAAAUGGAGCUAUUGGCUUUGAAUUGUAUUGUGGAAAUGUAUUACCAACAGAGGUGCAGGUGCCAGCCUAUUGAAAUAAAGCGUCAAUGAGGGUGAGAAUCCUGUUUGUCAUGUGCAGCCCUUUGUGCACGGUGUAUAUUUGCUGAGUCACACUCCUUGGCAUUGGAAUGCAAAGUGGGUGGUACGUUUCAUGUAAAGGUAAACAUGCAAUUGAGACUGAUAGCACACAAGUACCAUGAGGGAAAUAUGAAAAGGACUUUGAAAAGAGAAUUAAAUGAGUUUGUAUUUGCUGAACACAAAGUAAACAGACUUGAUUUGCUUGGUGGGAGUGUUGCACUUGCUUGACAAGAGCUUUGGGCUGUGGGUGUAAUGAUUCUUUCUUUGCAUGCCAGUUUCUAUUUGUACAUCUGAUUACCUUUGCACAUGAAUGAUAAGUCUCCUGUGGGGGGUGGAUUGCAUGUGCAUGUAAUGAUUUGUGUUUUGAUAAAUGUGUCUGGUGUAUGUGUGUGUUCCUGUGCUUGGGGAUGCUUCCUUCCUUGGACUUACAAGCCCUGACACACACAUGCUGGCAAAAUGCUUCCGCUUGACCCGUCUUGAAACAUGGACCAAGGAGUCUAACAGAUGUGCAAAGUUUGAAGGUGGUAUACCUUUGUGUGCAAUGCAAGUGUCAGCUGGGAUAUGUGCACCAGCACCCAAUUAAUUAGCGGACAGAGGUUUGAGUUGGAGCAUAUCUAUUAGGACCCGAAAGAUGGUGAACUAUGCCUGAACAGAAUGAAUUCAGAGGAAACUCUGAUGGAGGCUCGUAUCGAUACUGACGUGCAAAUCGUUCGU
This 950-nucleotide ribosomal RNA is filed under the name Alexandrium fundyense. RNAcentral describes it as "LSU rRNA". It matches the Rfam family "Eukaryotic large subunit ribosomal RNA", at positions 1 to 905 of the family's 3401-position model. The record is from RNAcentral. Lineage: Eukaryota; Dinophyceae; Gonyaulacales; Pyrocystaceae.